Molecule: long non-coding RNA, 1048 nt
Organism: Lemur catta (Ring-tailed lemur)
Lineage: Eukaryota; Metazoa; Chordata; Mammalia; Primates; Lemuridae
Exons: 3
Source: RefSeq, a predicted model, not a curated record
UCGGGCAGAAAGUAAACGACUUUACGACCAGCGCAGGCUCCGGGACUCGCUGCCAGCUUCCUAUUUCGUCAUUCUUGGAGUCGGGAAGGGGCGGAACGUGCCAGUACAAUGUAUUUAUGGUUAGCCCUUUAAAAAAGCAUUUGAAGUUUUGACGUAAGUCUUCAUUAUAGGUACAAUCGCUGUUUUUUGGAUUAUGAUAUUUAGGAAAGAGAGGUGAUGGGGAGUCUCUGAGCCUUAGAAGAACUCUGAGUUCCUCAGAAAAGUGCCCUAUAAAUUCAAGGUAUAAUCAUCUGGAUCAUUGCUGUCAUUAUUUCCACCCAAGCACGUUUCCAGACGUAUGAUUGGAAAUAAAAAUAACCUUGUGGAAUGUAGUCCUCAGAGCCAUUAGCAAUGUGGAGUCUGAAAAGGAGAAGCGUGCUGUGGGUGAUGUCUUCAGGCCUUGCUGACUCAAAGACGUGCAAAAUGCAAGACUUUGAGGGUACAGGCAAGGCAUGCACGAUCCAUGUCACUGCUUCAUCAGAGUAGGGGACCUUUCAGCUCAUCUGAUACAGAGGCAGCCCGGGGAUCAUGAAGUCUCAAGAGCCAAAAGGACCUUAGAGAUUAUCAUCUUCUCCAUCUAUGCUGGAGCCUUACCUGUGCCCUGACAGUCUAGAAUUGAGAUUUAGCCUAUGCUUGAACUCUUUAGCAGUUCACAAGCUCUUCUUACUUGCAUGUUUUAAUGAAGUAAAUUGCUGUGUUGCUGUGUUACAAGUUGCCCUAUGGAAAGGCCCAUUUGGCAAGGCACUGAGAGUGACGUCAGGACAAUAGCCAAUGAGGAACUGAGGCCCUCAGUCCAACAGCCUGUGGAGAACUGGAUCUUGCCAACAACCAUGUUCCAAGUGAGCUUGGAAGCAGAUCCUUUUCCAGUUGAGCCUUGAAAUGACUGAUGCUCCUCUCGACACCUUGAUUGCAUCAUGACUGUGAGAGACCCAGGCCAGAGGACCUCGCUAAGCCAUGCCCAGAUUCCUGAGCAACAGAAACUGUGAGAUAAUAAAUAUUAUUCAUUUAA